RNAcentral lists this long non-coding RNA (555 nucleotides) under Nicotiana benthamiana. RNAcentral describes it as "long non-coding RNA (NBEN_LNC040225)". The record is from RNAcentral. Lineage: Eukaryota; Viridiplantae; Streptophyta; Magnoliopsida; Solanales; Solanaceae.
CCAUUUUAAUCAAUGUUUCCCUUUUUUCCUCUUGUCCCGUUUUCCAACUGGCUUCCUAUGCUGUUAAUGAAAUUCUGGAAGUCGUUUGCUUUCUAUUUAUCCCACUAGACAGGUUCUGGAAAGACCUUGGCAUACCUGCUGCAAAUACUGUCAGUCACUGACAGUCAAAGGUCAGCAGUACAAGCAUUGAUUGUGGUGCCUACUAAACCUUGGCAUACCUGCUACAAAUACUCUCAGUCAUUGACAGUCAAAGGUCAGCAGUACAAGCAUUGAUUGUGGUUCCUACUAGGGAGCUUGGCAUGCAAGUAAGAUUUUGUGGAGUUAUUCCUUUUUGCAUUCUACUUAUAGCAUAUGUUUGCAGAAAGAAGGAACUCUAGGGAUGCACUGAAAGUUAACUCUGCUUUAGCUAGGUCACGAAGGUUGCUCGGACGCUCGCUGCAAAGCCUUCUGAACCUGAAUCAGGAUCGAAAUCGUGCACUGUUAUGGCUCUUCUAGAUGGGGGGAUGUUAAACAGACACAAGAGUUGGUUAAAGGUACAAAAGACAUUAUUGGUCC